Alligator sinensis (Chinese alligator) is the source of this 198-nucleotide long non-coding RNA. RefSeq lists it as uncharacterized. The record is from RefSeq and is a predicted model, not a curated record. The transcript is spliced from 3 exons. NCBI's taxonomy places the organism in Eukaryota, Metazoa, Chordata, Crocodylia, Alligatoridae.
CAGGGUGGCAGGAAGUCCACAGACUCAUCCUUCUCCCGGUUAGGAAUCUGCUGGCGAGAGACGCGGGACCUACAGAGCUGCUGUGAAGUCCAUCAUGACGCAACUCCCCCUCCUGAUGCUGCUCCUCUCCAUGGCCUCAACCGCCCACCUGUGCAACACAAGUGGGGGCACUGUGGCGCUGAAGCUCGCUCUCCAAAA